This 679-nucleotide ribosomal RNA is filed under the name Thermoprotei archaeon. RNAcentral's name for it is "bacterial SSU rRNA". It matches the Rfam family "Archaeal small subunit ribosomal RNA", at positions 1 to 652 of the family's 1478-position model. Lineage: Archaea; Thermoproteati; Thermoproteota; Thermoprotei. The record is from RNAcentral.
GACCCCGGUUGAUCCUGCCGGACCCGACCGCUAUCGGGGUGGGACUAAGCCAUGCAAGUCGAGCGCCCCGGGGCAUGGCGGGGCGCGGCGCACGGCUCAGUAACACGUAGCUAACCUACCCUCGGGAGGGGGAUAACCCCGGGAAACUGGGGCUAAUCCCCCAUAGGGGAGGACUCCUGGAAUGGGUCCUCCCCGAAAGGGAUGCGGCGCCAUCCCCGCCGCAUCCGCCCGAGGAUGGGGCUGCGGCCCAUCAGGUAGUUGGCCGGGUAACGGCCGGCCAAGCCGAUAACGGGUACGGGCCGUGAGAGCGGGAGCCCGGAGAUGGGCCCUGAGACAAGGGCCCAGGCCCUACGGGGCGCAGCAGGCGCGAAACCUCCGCAAUGCGGGAAACCGUGACGGGGUCACCCCGAGUGCCGCCUGAGGAGGGCGGCUUUUCCCCGCUGUAAAAAGGCGGGGGUAAUAAGCGGGGGGCAAGCCUGGUGUCAGCCGCCGCGGUAAUACCAGCCCCGCGAGUGGUCGGGACGUUUACUGGGCCUAAAGCGUCCGUAGCCGGCCCGGUAAGUCCUCCCUGAAAGCUCGGGGCUCAACCCCGAGAGAGGGGAGGAUACCUGGAAUGGGUCCUCCCCGAAAGGGAUACGGCGCCAUCCCCGCCGUAUCCGCCCGAGGAUGGGGCUGCGGC